CGUCGCUCGUCAGAGUUUGAUCCUGGCUCAGGAUGAACGCUAGCUACAGGCUUAACACAUGCAAGUCGAGGGGCAGCAUGGGCUUAGCUUGCUAAGCCCGAUGGCGACCGGCGCACGGGUGAGUAACACGUAUCCAACCUGCCGAUCACUCCGGUACAGCCUUUCGAAAGAAAGAUUAAUCCCGGAUUGUAUGGCGAUUCCGCAUGGUUUCUCCAUUAAAGGUUUUUUCCGGUGAUCGAUGGGGAUGCGUUCCAUUAGGCAGUUGGCGGGGUAACGGCCCACCAAACCUACGAUGGAUAGGGGUUCUGAGAGGAAGGUCCCCCACAUUGGAACUGAGACACGGUCCAA
This 348-nucleotide ribosomal RNA is filed under the name uncultured bacterium. Its description in RNAcentral is "bacterial SSU rRNA". It matches the Rfam family "Bacterial small subunit ribosomal RNA", at positions 1 to 334 of the family's 1533-position model. The record is from RNAcentral.